GGUUAAGCGACUAAGCGUACACGGUGGAUGCCCUGGCAGUCAGAGGCGAUGAAGGACGUGCUAAUCUGCGAUAAGCGUCGGUAAGGUGAUAUGAACCGUUAUAACCGGCGAUUUCCGAAUGGGGAAACCCAGUGUGUUUCGACACACUAUCAUUAACUGAAUCCAUAGGUUAAUGAGGCGAACCGGGGGAACUGAAACAUCUAAGUACCCCGAGGAAAAGAAAUCAACCGAGAUUCCCCCAGUAGCGGCGAGCGAACGGGGAGCAGCCCAGAGCCUGAAUCAGUGUGUGUGUUAGUGGAAGCGUCUGGAAAGGCGCGCGAUACAGGGUGACAGCCCCGUACACAAAAAUGCACAUACUGUGAGCUCGAUGAGUAGGGCGGGACACGUGGUAUCCUGUCUGAAUAUGGGGGGACCAUCCUCCAAGGCUAAAUACUCCUGACUGACCGAUAGUGAACCAGUACCGUGAGGGAAAGGCGAAAAGAACCCCGGCGAGGGGAGUGAAAAAGAACCUGAAACCGUGUACGUACAAGCAGUGGGAGCCUCUUAAUGGGGUGACUGCGUACCUUUUGUAUAAUGGGUCAGCGACUUAUAUUCUGUAGCAAGGUUAACCGAAUAGGGGAGCCGAAGGGAAACCGAGUCUUAACUGGGCGUUAAGUUGCAGGGUAUAGACCCGAAACCCGGUGAUCUAGCCAUGGGCAGGUUGAAGGUUGGGUAACACUAACUGGAGGACCGAACCGACUAAUGUUGAAAAAUUAGCGGAUGACUUGUGGCUGGGGGUGAAAGGCCAAUCAAACCGGGAGAUAGCUGGUUCUCCCCGAAAGCUAUUUAGGUAGCGCCUCGUGAAUUCAUCUCCGGGGGUAGAGCACUGUUUCGGCAAGGGGGUCAUCCCGACUUACCAACCCGAUGCAAACUGCGAAUACCGGAGAAUGUUAUCACGGGAGACACACGGCGGGUGCUAACGUCCGUCGUGAAGAGGGAAACAACCCAGACCGCCAGCUAAGGUCCCAAAGUCAUGGUUAAGUGGGAAACGAUGUGGGAAGGCCCAGACAGCCAGGAUGUUGGCUUAGAAGCAGCCAUCAUUUAAAGAAAGCGUAAUAGCUCACUGGUCGAGUCGGCCUGCGCGGAAGAUGUAACGGGGCUAAACCAUGCACCGAAGCUGCGGCAGCGACGUUUAUGCGUUGUUGGGUAGGGGAGCGUUCUGUAAGCCUGCGAAGGUGUACUGUGAGGUAUGCUGGAGGUAUCAGAAGUGCGAAUGCUGACAUAAGUAACGAUAAAGCGGGUGAAAAGCCCGCUCGCCGGAAGACCAAGGGUUCCUGUCCAACGUUAAUCGGGGCAGGGUGAGUCGACCCCUAAGGCGAGGCCGAAAGGCGUAGUCGAUGGGAAACAGGUUAAUAUUCCUGUACUUGGUGUUACUGCGAAGGGGGGACGGAGAAGGCUAUGUUGGCCGGGCGACGGUUGUCCCGGUUUAAGCGUGUAGGCUGGUUUUCCAGGCAAAUCCGGAAAAUCAAGGCUGAGGCGUGAUGACGAGGCACUACGGUGCUGAAGCAACAAAUGCCCUGCUUCCAGGAAAAGCCUCUAAGCAUCAGGUAACAUCAAAUCGUACCCCAAACCGACACAGGUGGUCAGGUAGAGAAUACCAAGGCGCUUGAGAGAACUCGGGUGAAGGAACUAGGCAAAAUGGUGCCGUAACUUCGGGAGAAGGCACGCUGAUAUGUAGGUGAAGUCCCUCGCGGAUGGAGCUGAAAUCAGUCGAAGAUACCAGCUGGCUGCAACUGUUUAUUAAAAACACAGCACUGUGCAAACACGAAAGUGGACGUAUACGGUGUGACGCCUGCCCGGUGCCGGAAGGUUAAUUGAUGGGGUUAGCGGUAACGCGAAGCUCUUGAUCGAAGCCCCGGUAAACGGCGGCCGUAACUAUAACGGUCCUAAGGUAGCGAAAUUCCUUGUCGGGUAAGUUCCGACCUGCACGAAUGGCGUAAUGAUGGCCAGGCUGUCUCCACCCGAGACUCAGUGAAAUUGAACUCGCUGUGAAGAUGCAGUGUACCCGCGGCAAGACGGAAAGACCCCGUGAACCUUUACUAUAGCUUGACACUGAACAUUGAGCCUUGAUGUGUAGGAUAGGUGGGAGGCUUUGAAGUGUGGACGCCAGUCUGCAUGGAGCCGGCCUUGAAAUACCACCCUUUAAUGUUUGAUGUUCUAACGUUGGCCCCUUACCGGGGUUGCGGACAGUGUCUGGUGGGUAGUUUGACUGGGGCGGUCUCCUCCUAAAGAGUAACGGAGGAGCACGAAGGUUGGCUAAUCCUGGUCGGACAUCAGGAGGUUAGUGCAAUGGCAUAAGCCAGCUUGACUGCGAGCGUGACGGCGCGAGCAGGUGCGAAAGCAGGUCAUAGUGAUCCGGUGGUUCUGAAUGGAAGGGCCAUCGCUCAACGGAUAAAAGGUACUCCGGGGAUAACAGGCUGAUACCGCCCAAGAGUUCAUAUCGACGGCGGUGUUUGGCACCUCGAUGUCGGCUCAUCACAUCCUGGGGCUGAAGUAGGUCCCAAGGGUAUGGCUGUUCGCCAUUUAAAGUGGUACGCGAGCUGGGUUUAGAACGUCGUGAGACAGUUCGGUCCCUAUCUGCCGUGGGCGCUGGAGAACUGAGGGGGGCUGCUCCUAGUACGAGAGGACCGGAGUGGACGCAUCACUGGUGUUCGGGUUGUCAUGCCAAUGGCACUGCCCGGUAGCUAAAUGCGGAAGAGAUAAGUGCUGAAAGCAUCUAAGCACGAAACUUGCCCCGAGAUGAGUUCUCCCUGACUCCUUGAGAGUCCUGAAGGAACGUUGAAGACGACGACGUUGAUAGGCCGGGUGUGUAAGCGCAGCGAUGCGUUGAGCUAACCGGUACUAAUGAACCGUGAGGCUUAACCUU
This 2905-nucleotide ribosomal RNA is filed under the name Escherichia coli. RNAcentral describes it as "23S ribosomal RNA". It matches the Rfam family "Bacterial large subunit ribosomal RNA". The record is from RNAcentral. Lineage: Bacteria; Pseudomonadati; Pseudomonadota; Gammaproteobacteria; Enterobacterales; Enterobacteriaceae.